CCAGACUCCUACGGGAGGCAGCAGUGGGGAAUAUUGCACAAUGGGGGGAACCCUGAUGCAGCGACGCCGCGUGGGUGAAGGAGUACUUCGGUACGUAAAGCCCUAUCAGCAGGAAAGAAAAUGACGGUACCUGACUAAGAAGCCCCGGCUAACUACGUGCCAGCAGCCGCGGUAAUACGUAGGGGGCAAGCGUUAUCCGGAUUUACUGGGUGUAAAGGGAGCGUAGACGGCUGCGCAAGUCAGAAGUGAAAGCCCGGGGCUCAACCGCGGGACUGCUUUUGAAACUGUGUAGCUAGAGUGCAGGAGAGGUAAGUGGAAUUCCUAGUGUAGCGGUGAAAUGCGUAGAUAUUAGGAGGAACACCGGUGGCGAAGGCGGCUUACUGGACUGUAACUGACGUUGAGGCUCGAAAGCGUGGGGAGCAAACAGGAUUAGAUACCCGGGUAUA
RNAcentral lists this ribosomal RNA (446 nucleotides) under uncultured bacterium. RNAcentral's name for it is "bacterial SSU rRNA". It matches the Rfam family "Bacterial small subunit ribosomal RNA", at positions 331 to 794 of the family's 1533-position model. The record is from RNAcentral.